This 431-nucleotide ribosomal RNA is filed under the name uncultured bacterium. RNAcentral's name for it is "partial 16S ribosomal RNA". It matches the Rfam family "Bacterial small subunit ribosomal RNA", at positions 29 to 507 of the family's 1533-position model. The record is from RNAcentral.
AGCGAACGCUGGCGGCAGGCCUAACACAUGCAAGUCGAACGAACCUUUCGGGGUUAGUGGCGGACGGGUGAGUAACACGUGGGAACGUGCCUUUAGGUUCGGAAUAACUCAGGGAAACUUGUGCUAAUACCGAAUGUGCCCUUCGGGGGAAAGAUUUAUCGCCUUUAGAGCGGCCCGCGUCUGAUUAGCUAGUUGGGUGAGGUAAUGGCUCACCAAGGCGACGAUCAGUAGCUGGUCUGGGGGGAUGAUCCGCCACUGUGGGACUGCGACAGGGCCCAAACUCCCGGGGGGCGCCAGUGGGGAAAGUCUGGCGCAGGGGGAAAGCGCGAGGCGCACCCGCCCCGGGAAUGUGAAAGUGUUUUGAGUAUUGUAAAUUUUUUACACGGGGGGUGAUGAGGGUGGUCCGCAGAGAAGCCCCCGCUUACCACUUC